Molecule: ribosomal RNA, 484 nt
Filed under: uncultured bacterium
Lineage: Bacteria
Description: partial 16S ribosomal RNA
Rfam family: Bacterial small subunit ribosomal RNA
Source: RNAcentral
GACGAACGCUGGCGGCGUGCUUAACACAUGCAAGUCGAGCGGAAAGGCCCCUUUGGGGGUACUCGAGCGGCGAACGGGUGAGUAACACGUGAGUAACCUGCCCCAGGCUUUGGGAUAACCCUCGGAAGCGGGGGCUAAUACCGGAUAGGACCUGCUGCCGCAUGGUGGUGGGUGGAAAGUUUUUUCGGCUUGGGAUGGGCUCGCGGCCUAUCAGCUUGUUGGUGGGGUGAUGGCCUACCAAGGCGGCGACGGGUAGCCGGCCUGAGAGGGCGACCGGCCACACUGGGACUGAGACAAGGCCCAGACUCCUACGGGAGGCAGCAGUGGAGAAUAUUGCACAAGGGGCGCAAGCCUGAUGCAGCGACGCCGCGUGAGGGAUGACGGCCUUCGGGUUGUAAACCUCUUUCAGCAGGGACGAAGCCUUUUGGGGUGACGGUACCUGCAGAAGAAGCGCCGGCCAACUACGUGCCAGCAGCCGCGGUAA